AUUGAACGCUGGCGGCAUGCUUUACACAUGCAAGUCGAACGGUAACAGGCCUUCGGGUGCUGACGAGUGGCGAACGGGUGAGUAAUGCAUCGGAACGUGCCCAGAGGUGGGGGAUAACGCAGCGAAAGCUGUGCUAAUACCGCAUGUGAUCUGAGGAUGAAAGCGGGGGACCAGGCAGCAAUGUUUGGCCUCGCGCCUUUGGAGCGGCCGAUGUCAGAUUAGGUAGUUGGUGGGGUAAAGGCCUACCAAGCCGACGAUCUGUAGCUGGUCUGAGAGGACGACCAGCCACACUGGGACUGAGACACGGCCCAGACUCCUACGGGAGGCAGCAGUGGGGAAUUUUGGACAAUGGGCGCAAGCCUGAUCCAGCAAUGCCGCGGGCGGGAAGAAGGCCUUCGGGUUGUAAACCGCUUUUGUACGGAACGAAAAGGCUCUGGCUAAUACCUGGGGCUGAUGACGGUACCGUAAGAAUAAGCACCGGCUAACUACGU
Molecule: ribosomal RNA, 491 nt
Filed under: uncultured bacterium
Lineage: Bacteria
Description: partial 16S ribosomal RNA
Rfam family: Bacterial small subunit ribosomal RNA
Source: RNAcentral